RNAcentral lists this ribosomal RNA (497 nucleotides) under uncultured bacterium. RNAcentral describes it as "partial 16S ribosomal RNA". It matches the Rfam family "Bacterial small subunit ribosomal RNA", at positions 28 to 507 of the family's 1533-position model. The record is from RNAcentral.
GAUGAACGCUGGCGGCGUGCCUAAUACAUGCAAGUCGAGCGAACAGACGAGGAGCUUGCUCCUCUGACGUUAGCGGCGGACGGGUGAGUAACACGUGGAUAACCUACCUAUAAGACUGGGAUAACUUCGGGAAACCGGAGCUAAUACCGGAUAAUAUAUUGAACCGCAUGGUUCAAUAGUGAAAGACGGUUUUGCUGUCACUUAUAGAUGGAUCCGCGCCGCAUUAGCUAGUUGGUAAGGUAACGGCUUACCAAGGCGACGAUGCGUAGCCGACCCGAGAGGGUGAUCGGCCACACGGGAACUGAGACACGGUCCAGACUCCUACGGGAGGCAGCAGUAGGGAAUCUUCCGCAAUGGGCGAAAGCCUGACGGAGCAACGCCGCGUGAGUGAUGAAGGUCUUCGGAUCGUAAAACUCUGUUAUUAGGGAAGAACAAAUGUGUAAGUAACUAUGCACGUCUUGACGGUACCUAAUCAGAAAGCCACGGCUAACUACGUG